RNAcentral lists this ribosomal RNA (492 nucleotides) under uncultured bacterium. RNAcentral's name for it is "partial 16S ribosomal RNA". It matches the Rfam family "Bacterial small subunit ribosomal RNA", at positions 29 to 507 of the family's 1533-position model. The record is from RNAcentral.
AGUGAACGCUGGCGGUAGGCCUAACACAUGCAAGUCGAACGGCAGCACAGUAAGAGCUUGCUCUUACGGGUGGCGAGUGGCGGACGGGUGAGGAAUACAUCGGAAUCUACUUUUUCGUGGGGGAUAACGUAGGGAAACUUACGCUAAUACCGCAUACGACCUACGGGUGAAAGCAGGGGAUCUUCGGACCUUGCGCGAUUGAAUGAGCCGAUGUCGGAUUAGCUAGUUGGCGGGGCAAAGGCCCACCAAGGCGACGAUCCGUAGCUGGUCUGAGAGGAUGAUCAGCCACACUGGAACUGAGACACGGUCCAGACUCCUACGGGAGGCAGCAGUGGGGAAUAUUGGACAAUGGGCGCAAGCCUGAUCCAGCCAUACCGCGUGGGUGAAGAAGGCCUUCGGGUUGUAAAGCCCUUUUGUUGGGAAAGAAAAGCAGCAGGUUAAUACCCCGCUGUUCUGACGGUACCCAAAGAAUAAACACCGGCUAACUUCGUG